RNAcentral lists this ribosomal RNA (500 nucleotides) under uncultured bacterium. RNAcentral describes it as "partial 16S ribosomal RNA". It matches the Rfam family "Bacterial small subunit ribosomal RNA", at positions 30 to 523 of the family's 1533-position model. The record is from RNAcentral.
AUUGAACGCUGGCGGCAUGCUUUACACAUGCAAGUCGGACGGUAACAGGGUGCUUGCUCCGCUGACGAGUGGCGAACGGGUGAGUAAUGCGUCGGAACGUGCCGAGUAGUGGGGGAUAACGCAGCGAAAGUUGUGCUAAUACCGCAUACGUACUGAGGUAGAAAGUGGGGGACCUUCGGGCCUCACGCUAUUCGAGCGGCCGACGUCUGAUUAGCUAGUAGGUGAGGUAAAGGCUCACCUAGGCGACGAUCAGUAGCGGGUCUGAGAGGAUGAUCCGCCACACUGGGACUGAGACACGGCCCAGACUCCUACGGGAGGCAGCAGUGGGGAAUUUUGGACAAUGGGCGAAAGCCUGAUCCAGCCAUGCCGCGUGUCUGAAGAAGGCCUUCGGGUUGUAAAGGACUUUUGUCAGGGAGGAAAUCCCUAGUGCUAAUAACACUGGGGGAUGACAGUACCUGAAGAAUAAGCACCGGCUAACUACGAGCCAGCCGCCGCAGUAA